Molecule: unclassified non-coding RNA, 378 nt
Filed under: plant metagenome
Description: partial contains 5.8S ribosomal RNA, internal transcribed spacer 2, and large subunit ribosomal RNA
Rfam family: 5.8S ribosomal RNA (bases 1-105)
Source: RNAcentral
GAAAUGCGAUAAGUAAUGUGAAUUGCAGAAUUCAGUGAAUCAUCGAAUCUUUGAACGCACCUUGCGCUCCUUGGUAUUCCUUGGAGCAUGCCUGUUUGAGUAUCAUGAAAUCUUCAAAGUAUAUCUUUUGUUAACUCAAUUGGUUUCUACUUUGGUAUUGAAGGUCUUUGCAGCUUCACACCUGCUCCUCUUUGUUCAUUAGCUGGAUCUCAGUGUUAUGCUUGGUUCCACUCGGCGUGAUAAGUUAUCUAUCGCUGAGGACACUGUAAAAGGUGGCCAAGGUAAAUGCAGAUGAACCGCUUCUAAUAGUCCAUUGACUUGGACAAUACUUUUAUGAUCUGAUCUCAAAUCAGGUAGGACUACCCGCUGAACUUAAGC